UACGAAGGGGGCUAGCGUUGCUCGGAAUCACUGGGCGUAAAGCGCACGUAGGCGGGUUCUUAAGUCAGGGGUGAAAUCCUGGAGCUCAACUCCAGAACUGCCUUUGAUACUGGGAAUCUCGAGUCCGGGAGAGGUGAGUGGAACUGCGAGUGUAGAGGUGAAAUUCGUAGAUAUUCGCAAGAACACCAGUGGCGAAGGCGGCUCACUGGCCCGGUACUGACGCUGAGACGCGAAAGCGUGGGGAGCAAACAGG
Molecule: ribosomal RNA, 253 nt
Filed under: uncultured bacterium
Lineage: Bacteria
Description: partial 16S ribosomal RNA
Rfam family: Bacterial small subunit ribosomal RNA
Source: RNAcentral